UGGUCCCGCCCCUUAAUUAGCUGAACCAUAUAUAAAGCACCUGUGGCAGCAUGGCUUCCUUUUCGUCUUGUGUGCUUGCUGGUUGCCACAUGUUCCUUGUGCUGAGGAGCCCUCUGCCUGCUUGUCUGCCUCUCUGCCUCGUGUGAGCUGGUGUCUGCUUUGCUAAGAUACUUCCAGUCUAAAUAAUCAAACUUGCAUUGUAUUUUGGAACCAUGUCUUUGUCUUAAUAAAGGUGUUGAACCUGU
Long non-coding RNA from Notolabrus celidotus (New Zealand spotty), 245 nucleotides. RefSeq lists it as uncharacterized. Lineage: Eukaryota; Metazoa; Chordata; Actinopteri; Labriformes; Labridae. The transcript is spliced from 3 exons. The record is from RefSeq and is a predicted model, not a curated record.